This is a non-coding RNA of Punica granatum (pomegranate), 738 nucleotides long. NCBI's taxonomy places the organism in Eukaryota, Viridiplantae, Streptophyta, Magnoliopsida, Myrtales, Lythraceae. The record is from RefSeq and is a predicted model, not a curated record.
UUCAUUUGGUUUUCUUUCUUCUUUCUUUCUUUUUGCUAUGUUUUGGGUUGGGGGAAAAUGAAGAAGAAACAGAGAGAGAGAGAAGAAGGGAACGAUAGUGAGCUCGAGACAGCGUUCACGGAAGAGAGAGAGAGAGCUUAGCUCGGGCAGAAACAAAGUAGAGAUAGGAAGAGCAAAGCAAGGGUAUGACAGGGGGACUCGAGAUUUUGUUCGCAGAAGAGGAAGAAAGAAUAAAGAAAAGCUAAGAUGAGAUGGGAACAUAUCAGCCAUAGGACCGCUGGACCUAGCGGAAUACAAAUAGGGCAUGAUCAGCCACUGGAAUCAGGCGGAAUAUAAAUGGGGGUCCGAUCGGCCGCUGGACUCGGCGAUAUAAAUAUGGGCCCGAUCGCCUGCUUGACCCAACGGAAUAUAAAUUGAGGUGAACUCUUACCGCCAGAGGUUAAUAAGCGGCCCCCGUUUAUGAGAUAUGUUUAUGAGGAAAUGCGAAUAAAUUAUUUGAGAUGUAAGGGGUCACGGUACCGUCACAAUUUUGUUGCGAGGAAAUGCAACCCUACGACUAUAUUGAUUGGUUUUGUUGUAUAUUAUUUGUUGAGUCUAAUUGUUGGAGAUGUGAUGAUUGUUGAGAUUGUCUGAAAUUGUUCUAUGAAAACCGAGUUGUUGCUAGAGCUGGAUAUAGUUAGUGUAUGAGUGUUAAGUGGUGCUGAAUUAAUGAUUAAUUAUACUAUUAUUAUAUGGUUA